AGAUCAUGAUGUGGGCAGUUCCUCAACAAACUCUUGUAUCUUUCCCAUGCCUCAUAAAGUGACUCUCCAGAUUGUUGCUCAAAGUUGGCUAUGGCUUUCUUCAACUU
Molecule: small nucleolar RNA, 107 nt
Organism: Lactuca sativa (garden lettuce)
Lineage: Eukaryota; Viridiplantae; Streptophyta; Magnoliopsida; Asterales; Asteraceae
Source: RefSeq, a predicted model, not a curated record